ACGUGUUUUGGGACCAGCAAAUGGAACAGUAUUCGGAGAAGGACAACAUCAAAUUCUUUAUAGAGCUAUCAACUCCUUUGGAAAAGAAGACUGUUUGAUAAUGUUUGCAGUAAAAAGACGCUGUAUUGAAUUACCUUCUCCACAGAAUGGCCAAUUUUCGUGUACAGGCAACUAUGGGGAGGGUUCAGCGUGCUUGUUGAAGUGUUCCAAAGACUUCAGGCCAAAUGUGUUGCUACCAUUUUUCUGUGAAUAUCAAAAAACAAUGCAUUGGUCUCCCACGUUGACGAACGUGAAAUGCAACGAUGUUUGUCUGCCCAUUUUAGUAAAAUGUCCAAGAAAAGUAAUUGCUAUCGCAGAUUCAAAAUCAUUU
Long non-coding RNA from Saccostrea echinata, 370 nucleotides. RefSeq lists it as uncharacterized. The transcript is spliced from 3 exons. The record is from RefSeq and is a predicted model, not a curated record. Lineage: Eukaryota; Metazoa; Mollusca; Bivalvia; Ostreida; Ostreidae.